RNAcentral lists this ribosomal RNA (501 nucleotides) under Triticum aestivum (bread wheat). Its description in RNAcentral is "partial small subunit ribosomal RNA". The record is from RNAcentral. Lineage: Eukaryota; Viridiplantae; Streptophyta; Magnoliopsida; Poales; Poaceae.
AUGGAGCCGCUGCUCAGAACAGAUUCGGCGCACGAAACAAGCCAGGAUUGCUUCGGGCCGGACGUCCUCAUCAGCGAGGAGGACGAAACCCGUUUUGCCCAACGUUUGCGUCCCAACAUUCCUCUUCCUCGUACUGACCUGCCACUUUAUAUGUCAUGGGAGGAAGAAGACAAGAUAGAAGCGCGCCUUGGACGCCUUCGCAUCACUUAUUACAAGGAUGUGAAGCCGGAGUGCGCACGUGAACGUGAGCUUAAGGAACCAGAAGAAUACACUGAUGCUGAACUUGGUGAGGAGUUGUACUUUAAGCGGUUAGAGGAGGAUGAAAGUUUUGAGUGGUUCGUCCAUCCUGAUGACACCUAUAAAGCUGGAUUGAAUGACUACCAACGGAUUGCCCCUCGUAAUUUUCUGCCUCAUAGCGGUCGGAACCUGUACCGCUAUCACGAUGAGUACCGCUCACGUUAUCAUACAUAUAAAAUUGAUGCUGUUUAUGUCAAUGGUUAG